This is a long non-coding RNA of Lathyrus oleraceus (garden pea), 919 nucleotides long. RefSeq lists it as uncharacterized. The transcript is spliced from 3 exons. The record is from RefSeq and is a predicted model, not a curated record. NCBI's taxonomy places the organism in Eukaryota, Viridiplantae, Streptophyta, Magnoliopsida, Fabales, Fabaceae.
UAUAUUUUUUAAAAGCAUAUUCUACUCAUAAAGAGGAACAAAUGGUCAUAGACAGAGCAAAAACACAAAAGGUGAGGGAAAUCCAAGGUGAAUCCAAGACACAUAAACAGCAAGGAGAAAUGUUACAUAGUGUGAAUCAAAGAAAACGAACGUUAAGAGAGAUUGAUGGAAGGAAGAUGGUGUUUACCUAUUCGCAGAGAUGACAUCGGCGAUGGAAAGAGCGAUGUUGGAUCGUCUUCUUCAAAUGCUUUCCCUCCCGUCGGUUUCUUUCAAGCGUAUUCGCCCGCCGACUUUUCUUUCGAUACCGGCUUCGUCUAAACGGUGUCAAGAUGAAGUUCUUGGAUCCUUUGAGGAACACGCCGCCUCCCGUUCUCUAAAUUUUCCUCCUUUUCUUUUAAUUUUGUUGAUUUUCAGUUUUCGCCGUCGAAAAAUUAUUAGGGUUCUCUUAUGAACAGUAGUCCCUCUUAUAUACGACUCGUCACUCUUUCUUUCUCUCUGCUGUGUUUCUUCAGGGUAGUGGAGCGUGUUCGUACGGAAGCCGUUUGGAGAUUUUGUCCUCAUCCCCAGUUUGUGGUCCCUCCUUCAAUUCCUCUCCAUCUCCAAAACUUCACCGUUGAUUGCCUGAACUGUUGCUGCUGCUGAGCAAGAAGUUGCUGUUGCUGCUGUUGAGGUUAUUCAAGCAGCAGCAGCAGAGACACAACAACGAUAUCAAAUUUCAGUUUCCCUACAACAGGAAAAUCUCCUCCAAAUACAAAUAAUGCCAAGCAUGUCCAGCAGCACCCAACAUUUUGUAUGACUUCACUUUGUUUGCAUUGAAUUGUACUAAUCUCUUGGAAAGAAAAGCCGGCUCUGAAUUCUUUGAUUGAUCUGUUAAUUACUGUUUAGAAUACCAUCUUUAUCAUAAACCAGUUUGGAUUUU